UUGACUUAUUUUUUUUCCUCAGAGGACACAGUAUAGAAGAGUUAGGUGCUUUCGGCAGGCCUGAAGGUGCCCCGCCCUGGGGCGGCCUUGCCGAGGCAACAAAUAGUACAAAAGACCACACUGGUUUGGGAGUUUUUCAACUCUGUAAUGAUCCCUCCGCUGGUUCACCAACGGAGA
RNAcentral lists this unclassified non-coding RNA (177 nucleotides) under uncultured fungus. RNAcentral's name for it is "sequence contains ITS1". The record is from RNAcentral. Lineage: Eukaryota; Fungi.